Molecule: transfer RNA, 74 nt
Filed under: Candidatus Cloacimonadota bacterium
Lineage: Bacteria; Pseudomonadati; Candidatus Cloacimonadota
Description: Candidatus Cloacimonetes bacterium tRNA-Ile
Rfam family: tRNA
About the family: Transfer RNA (tRNA) molecules are approximately 80 nucleotides in length. Their secondary structure includes four short double-helical elements and three loops (D, anti-codon, and T loops).
Source: RNAcentral
AGGGGUAUAGCUCAGCUGGUUAGAGCGCACGCCUGAUAAGCGUGAGGUCGGUGGUUCGAGUCCACUUACCCCUA